This is a long non-coding RNA of Lonchura striata (white-rumped munia), 1089 nucleotides long. RefSeq lists it as uncharacterized. NCBI's taxonomy places the organism in Eukaryota, Metazoa, Chordata, Aves, Passeriformes, Estrildidae. The record is from RefSeq and is a predicted model, not a curated record.
AAUGCUCAUUUUGCAGCCUCAGAUAUCCUAAAUAUAGUAAACUCUUUGAAACUUUCUGCUCACGACCAGUGGGGACUUACAUACUACAUUUAUGAGAUGUGGGUUUAAUUAUUGGGGUUUUUACUGAGGAAGAUAAUGAGAAACGGAAUUUUACUGAGCAGGUUAUUUUGUGCGUUAUUUUUCCAGGAUUUAUUCUUGAUUACCGUGGAACUAAAGAACUUUUUAAUAUUGGGAAAUGACUUUUUCAUAGUUUUGGAUUUGAAAUAAUUUUCUUCUGUUCUUUGUUGAGAUGAAAGGAAGCCAAUUAUUAUUGGAAUCUUGGGUUCAGAAACGUAUUAUUGCUACUGUUCUUCAAGGAGUCAACCUAUCCCAUGGGAUUCCCAUGUGGAGGAGUUUCAAAGAACAUAGAACAUGAAUGACAAAUUUUAAGAGUCCCAGACAGAAGGUGGGAAGAAAGCUCAGGACAAACAAGCAGGGAAAAGGACCAAUCUUCCCACGACUGCUGGCAAGCACCAAGAUUCCAUAGUUGCACUGAGCAGUCUCACCUGGGAUCCCUGCCCACUGCCCACAGGCCCUGGGAAUCAUUUAAGCGCUGGACUGCUCCACCUUCCCUUCUGGAGACGUGGUGAAGAGAAGCUUCCAUAAGCUGUUGAAAAUACAGGAAGAAUAGGAGUGAAUGAUUACUUCUGGUUUUCCACUAAUUCCCUGCUAACAAAGAUAUUCUUCAGAGUCUCAGAUCUUCUGAUACUUCAGUGUGCAGAACCUUGUAUUGGGUGACAAGGUUUGGUAACAGAGGGCCACAGGGUUGGCUCCUGUGAGAAGCUGCCAGAAGCUCUCCGAAUGUCUGAUGGAACCAGCACCAGCUGAUGCCAAGAUGGACUUGCCACUGGCCAAAGCUGAACUCAUCAGUGAUAGUGGUAGCACCUCUAGGAUAACACAGUUAAGGAGAAAAGGAAAUAAAAAAUGUGGCUGUAGCCAAAAAAAGGAGCAAGAAUACAUGCCAGGAACAGCCCUGCAGAUAUAUGGCUAUAUAAUGGCAAUGGAAUACUUAGUAUUCUGAUAAUUACCAGCACCAAGCAUUUGCAGCAA